RNAcentral lists this ribosomal RNA (243 nucleotides) under uncultured bacterium. RNAcentral describes it as "partial 16S ribosomal RNA". It matches the Rfam family "Bacterial small subunit ribosomal RNA", at positions 96 to 334 of the family's 1533-position model. The record is from RNAcentral.
UGGCGAACGGGUGGAGUAACGCGUGAGGAACCCUGCCUCAAAAGAAGGGGGGAACAGUUGGAAACGACUGCUAAUACCGCAUAAGCCCACGACCCGGCAUCGGGAAGAGGGAAAAGGAGCAAUCCGCUUUGAGAUGGCCUCGCGUCCGAUUAGCUAGUUGGUGAGGUAACGGCCCACCAAGGCGACGAUCGGUAGCCGGACUGAGAGGUUGAACGGCCACAUUGGGACUGAGACACGGCCCAG